GCCUCACAAUGGUUUGAUCCACUGCCUCCCAGCCCUCAGCAGUGGCACACGAUGCAGGUACUGUGUGCAUGUGUGGGAAUCUGACAGUCUGUCUGUCGUUGGUGGCUGACAUCCAGCAGAGCAGGCCAAGUAUGGCACACAGACAGAGCUGGGGACAGAUGGGCAGGGAAAGACUGGCAGAGACAGGGAGUCUCAGGAUCCUCGGCUCAGUUUGGGACCCUUAAUCCAGGCUGGACAGGAGGAAGUCAACCGGCAUUUCUAGAUUCUCCAUCACCUGCCACGAGAGCCUCUGUGGGCUUUCAUAGAUGGACUCAUCGAGGUUGAAGAUGGAGUCCAACCACGCCUUCAUCUGAUCCUGACGACAACAGACACAUCAUCAACAAAUAGAUAAUGACCAGCUACAAAGAUAAGGAUGACAAACCAUCACACACAGUUCGAGAGAGAGAGAGAGAGAGAGAGAGAGGGAGGGAGAAUAAAUAAAUAAAUAUGCACCUUAAUGAGGAGGUAGAAGUUCCCAGCAGACUCUGUCCAGGCUCCUCCAGGAGGGCGAAUCCUCAUCAUCACUUCCAUGAGCAGAUAAAAGAAGGUACCAGGCCUCUGGAGUAGGAACAGGGGACAUGAGUGAGUGUCUACAGACCUGGAAUGGCUACAGUGUGGAUAGGGUAGAUAAACAACAGGAUGUUUACAUUAUUAGGGUCACUUACAGAUGUUGGAAGAGAUGUUUUUCCUUCAAGAAGGCUCAGUAGAACAAAUUCAUAAAAUACAUCUGUGAAAUUGAUGUGGUUGAUCUUAAGUCAAACAAAUAAGAUAAUUACAUAUUUUUCAUUGACAAGCACUUUAGAAAGUCUCAUUGAGGAGAUGUUGGAUGAGCAGACGGUGACUGCAGCUAACACUCAAGCUUGCAUGUAAACCUACUCCUACAAGAGCCAUCUCCAGCUCUAGUUGCUCCCUGUUUGCUGGCUCAUUAAUGAAGUUCACCAGGAUGUCGUAGGCCUGCUGAAACUGCCUCACAUCCUCAAAACAAAACAAUCAUAAAAUUCCUUAGAACUUGGAUCAUAAACUCAAAGAUUCAGGUCUGUAAUUCAGAGGGCCUCUGAUUGAUUGUUUGGCUUGUAAGACAUUGGAACUUUUCAACUAAACCUUAUGAAUCACUAUUGCCUAAAUGUAAGCCACUGGGCAAAGACUGGUUGAAUCAACAUUGUUUCCUUGUCAUUUCAACAACAAAAAAUGUAAUGUGAUGAUGUUGAAUAAACAUGGAAAACUGAUUGGAAUUGAAAGAAGUCAUCAAUGUAUUUUUUUCACCAAACUUUUAACCUAAGUCCAAUGACAUGGUACAUUUGUUGUAUUGAAUUCAAAUUUGUUGACAACUCAACCAAAUGUAACUAAACACGACACGCUGAAAUGACAUCUGUGCCCAGUGGGAACUAUAUAUCUGGUCUGAUGAAUGUUGUACAAUUAUUUGAAUGGUUACCUGCUGGUUGAGCUCGGACAGUCCACUCAACACCAUCCUCCCAGCGUGGGUGAGGUAAUUAAGGGAGGUACUGUCUGAGGAUGUCAGAGCCUGUGAGAACAAGACAGUACAUUUAGAAAUGGUACAGAAAUGUACAUCAAAUGAAAUUCAAAAGGUGGUAAAUUCACACUUUCUCACCUCCAUAGCACGUCGGAUACCGGCCAGCCUCAGAGAGAAGUUGCUUGUCCCUUGGUUUCCAAAGUAACUCCUGUAAAUAGAAAUGUUUAGUAGCAAAUGUGCAACAUAAGAAGCUAAAGCAUACAUUAAUGCCAUGAGAUUAAGAUAUCCUUUUAUGUUAGCCUAUGUUACAACUGCAGGAUUUAGAAAAACCAUACCAAUGUAGGAUCUUAAUUUGAUCACUCGUUUGUUGCUGAGACACUUGUAGUGUAUUUUAGUUUUAAAAAGGCUUUUAAAGUUUGUAAUAACAGACUUGAUUUGCCCUCACGAAAAAUCUAUUAACCCCUACAAAAAUGUAAAUUAUAAUCCACAUGAUAACAAAUAUUUCCUAUGCCAAGAGUAUGCCAAAAGUGUGCAAAGCUGUUGUCAAGGCAAAGGCUGACUAUUUGAAGAAUCUCAAACCUAAAAUAUAUUUUGAUUCCAUGUGUUCUUUCAUAGUUUUGAUGUCUUCGCUAUUAUUCUACAACGUAGAAAAGAGUAAAAAUAAAGAAACCCUUGAAUCAGUAGUUGUUUGAAAACUUUUGAACGGUAGUGUAUAUAAAGUGUUUCAACUCUAUAUCUGAAAUGCUAAUGGUGUCUUCUUUUUUUAAGACUAUAUCCAUGUGUGUGAGAUGUACACUUUUGUUUCAAGGUGUGUGACUGUCACACCCUGACCAUAGAGAGCCUUUUUAUUCUCUUUUUUGGUUAGGUUGGGGUGUGACUAGGGUGGGUAAUCUAGGUAGUUUUUUUCUAUGUUGGCCUGGUAUGGUUCCCUAUCAGAGGCAGCUGUUUAUCAUUGUCUCUGAUUGGGAAUCAUAUUUAGGCAGCCAUUUCCCCUCUGUGUUUUGUGGGAUCUUGUUUUUGUGUUGUUGCCUUUGAGCACUAGAUUGUCACGUUUCGUUUAUUCUUUAUUGUUUUUGUGCGGUUCACUUCAAAUAAAAGAUGUCGAACCGAUUUCACGCUG
Oncorhynchus kisutch (coho salmon) is the source of this 2630-nucleotide long non-coding RNA. RefSeq lists it as uncharacterized. The record is from RefSeq and is a predicted model, not a curated record. Lineage: Eukaryota; Metazoa; Chordata; Actinopteri; Salmoniformes; Salmonidae. The transcript has 3 exons.